RNAcentral lists this ribosomal RNA (277 nucleotides) under uncultured bacterium. Its description in RNAcentral is "partial 16S ribosomal RNA". It matches the Rfam family "Bacterial small subunit ribosomal RNA", at positions 74 to 354 of the family's 1533-position model. The record is from RNAcentral.
CCUGCACCUGCCGGCGACCGGCGCACGGGUGAGUAACACGUAUGGAACCUGCCCGCCACAGGGGGAUAACCCGGGGAAACCCGGCCUAAUACCCCAUGCCGCCCGGACCGGGCAUCCGGUCCGGGCGAAAGGAGGAAUCCGGUGGCGGCUGGGCAUGCGGCGCAUUAGCUUGACGGCGGGGUAACGGCCCACCGUGGCGACGAUGCGUAGGGGUUCUGAGAGGAAGGCCCCCACACUGGAACUGAGACACGGUCCAGACUCCUACGGGAGGCAGCAG